GGCCUCUGAACAUGCUACCGCUAGAAGAUGGGUCUGCGUAUGAUUAGCUAGUUGGUGAGGUAAUGGCUCACCAAGGCGACGAUCAGUAGCCGGUCUGAGAGGAUGAACGGCCACACUGGGACUGAGACACGGCCCAGACUCCUACGGGAGGCAGCAGUGGGGAAUCUUCCGCAAUGGACGAAAGUCUGACGGAGCAACGCCGCGUGAGUGAAGAAGGUUUUCGGAUCGUAAAGCUCUGUCUUUUAGGACGAAUGUAUUCUAUGUAAAUAAUGUAGGAUAAUGACGGUACUGAAGGAGGAAGCCACGGCUAACUACGUGCCAGCAGCCGCGGUAAUACGUAGGUGGCGAGCGUUGUCCGGAAUCAUUGGGCGUAAAGGGCGCGUAGGCGGGAUGAUCAGUCUGUCUUAAAAGUUCGGGGCUCAACCCCGUGAUGGGAUAGAAACUGUCAUUCUUGAGUGCAGGAGAGGAAAGUGGAAUUCCCAGUGUAGCGGUGAAAUGCGUAGAUAUUGGGAGGAACACCAGUGGGGAAGGCGACUUUCUGGACUGUGUCUGACGCUGAGGCGCGAAAGCUAGGGAAGUGAACGGGAUUAGAUACCCCGGUAAUCCUACCCGUAAACGAUGGGUACUAGGUGUAGAGGGUAUCGACCCCUUCUGUGCCGGAGUUAACGCAAUAAGUACCCCGCCUGGGGAGUACGGCCGCAAGGUGAA
Molecule: ribosomal RNA, 708 nt
Filed under: uncultured bacterium
Lineage: Bacteria
Description: bacterial SSU rRNA
Rfam family: Bacterial small subunit ribosomal RNA
Source: RNAcentral